This 463-nucleotide ribosomal RNA is filed under the name uncultured bacterium. Its description in RNAcentral is "partial 16S ribosomal RNA". It matches the Rfam family "Bacterial small subunit ribosomal RNA", at positions 28 to 507 of the family's 1533-position model. The record is from RNAcentral.
GACGAACGCUGGCGGCGUGCUUAACACAUGCAAGUCGAACGGAAAGGCCUUUUCGGAGGUACUCGAGUGGCGAACGGGUGAGUAACACGUGGGUGAUCUGCCCUGCACUCUGGGAUAAGCCUGGGAAACUGGGUCUAAUACCGGAUAGGACCGCACUUUAGUGUGUGUGGUGGAAAGUUUUUUCGGUGUAGGAUGAGCCCGCGGCCUAUCAGCUUGUUGGUGGGGUAAUGGCCUACCAAGGCGGCGACGGGUAGCCGGAUUGAGAGGUUGGUCGGCCACAUUGGGACUGAGAUACGGCCCAGACUCCUACGGGAGGCAGCAGUGGGGAAUAUUGCACAAUGGGCGCAAGCCUGAUGCAGCGACGCCGCGUGGGGGAUGACGGCCUUCGGGUUGUAAACUCCUUUCGCCAGGGACGAAGCGUUUUGUGACGGUACCUGGAGAAGAAGCACCGGCUAACUACGUG